CCUACUGCGGCUGCAGUGGGGAAUCUUAGACAAUGGGGGAAACCCUGAUCUAGCCAUGCCGCGUGAGCGAUGAAGGCCUUAGGGUUGUAAAGCUCUUUCAGCUGGGAAGAUAAUGACGGUACCAGCAGAAGAAGCCCCGGCUAACUCCGUGCCAGCAGCCGCGGUAAUACGGAGGGGGCUAGCGUUGUUCGGAAUUACUGGGCGUAAAGCGCACGUAGGCGGACUGGAAAGUUGGGGGUGAAAUCCCGGGGCUCAACCCCGGAACUGCCUUCAAAACUCCCAGUCUGGAGUUCGAGAGAGGUGAGUGGAAUUCCGAGUGUAGAGGUGAAAUUCGUAGAUAUUCGGAGGAACACCAGUGGCGAAGGCGGCUCACUGGCUCGAUACUGACGCUGAGGUGCGAAAGCGUGGGGAGCAAACAGGAUUAGAUACCCCUGUAGUCCUC
Molecule: ribosomal RNA, 442 nt
Filed under: uncultured Paracoccus sp.
Lineage: Bacteria; Pseudomonadati; Pseudomonadota; Alphaproteobacteria; Rhodobacterales; Paracoccaceae
Description: bacterial SSU rRNA
Rfam family: Bacterial small subunit ribosomal RNA
Source: RNAcentral